This 2098-nucleotide long non-coding RNA is filed under the name Olea europaea subsp. europaea. The record is from RNAcentral. Lineage: Eukaryota; Viridiplantae; Streptophyta; Magnoliopsida; Lamiales; Oleaceae.
AUCAAAUGAAAAUAUUAAUUCUUGAAAAAAUAAUUACAGUUGUUUAAAAAUAUUAAUUCUUGUAUAAUUGAUGCAGAUGCCUUUAGAAUACGUUCUCUCCAUAGAACAAUGGUUUUCUGUUACCAUCUUUCAGUAUCCAAAUCGUCAAUAAGUUCAAGAUUUUGUAAAUUUCAUAGAUGCAAAUCAACAAUGUUAUUUGAUGUGUAGUAAUUUUUAUGGAUUUAUAUAUGGAGCUGUUUUCAAAGGGGACGAAGAACAAUUUACUAGCAAGUUGGUACCCGAAUUUAUAAUGAGACUUGUGCAUUGUGACAAAAACAAUAAACUUUGGGUACGGUUAGAUGACCAUCUUGCUAGGUUUGGCUUGCAAGAAUUUUGCCUCAUUACUGGACUACCUUGCCAUGAACCAUUUGUAGAAAUUGAUUAUAAUAACGAUCGUCUUAGAAAUCAAUACUUCAAUGGCACAAAAAAAAUUAGCAAUAGAAUGCUUUUUGAAACUUUUCACAUGUGUGAAGAUACAGAAGAUAAAUUUAAACUGGAAUUAGUUAUAUUGGUCGAGUGUGUGUUGAAACCGACUUCACGACAAGUUGAUUAUAGAACUCUGGGCAUGGUUGAAUAUCUGGAUGAGUUCCUUACGUAUCCAUGGGGCCGAAUAGCAUAUUUUGUUUUGUUAAAUUCAUUGAAAGAGUCACAAUUGGAAAGAACACUAAGGAUGCAACAGAAUGGACAAACAGAAUGUAAGUAUACAUUACAAGGCUAUCCGCUCGCAUUUCAGGUAUUAUGUUCAUAUUCUAAUUACUUACGUAUUAUGUAUAAUUUCUUUGUACAAAGAAUAAAAUUUAUACAUCACAUUUCUCUUUCUUUACGUUGCAGUAUUGGAUAUAUGAAGCGUUUCCAUGAAUUGGACAAAAGUUUGGUCGCCGUAAAUACAGAACGGUCCAGAUUCCACGAAUUUAUAAUUGGAGGCCUAAUACUAUACUGAAGGAAUCGGUUGUUAAGCAAUUUUUGGAUACUCAAGAUGUAUGAAUUUUUUAUUUUCAAUGCGGAAUGAGAUUCGCAUUUUAUUAUUAACAAGUUCAAUUAAACAAAUGGAUUUGAUAGUUUGUUAUGAUUACAGAUCGAAGUCAUUGCAGUGCUGUAGCCUACAGAGGAAGAAUGACAAACACCCUGGUACACAAAUCUUUCACUGCCGACUGACGAUGAACAUAAUAUAUUAGAUGCCAUUGUCACUGGAGAAGUAGAUAAUGUAGUACCACAAAUACCGAAUAACAUCCGUGUGCAAGAAAUGACCAGUCGUGGUACAUUGAGAACUUCAACUGGAGUUGGGCCUAGUUCUGCUUCUGGUGCCUCCAGAUAUAUAAUUGAAGACCGAAUGGAAGAAAUGUUGGGUAUGUACAGGCAACAUACGAUAUCAGACGUGUCCAGUUUGUGUGGCAACUUGAAGGCAGAAUUUGUUGAAGAAUCCAGAGCCUUGAACCAGGAUAUCCUUGAAAGCCAAAAGCAACUGUUUGAACAACAUAACAAAUCGAUGAAAGAUUACAUGCUAUGUGGUAUGCAGUCAUACAUGGAUAAUUCUCUAUCAAAUAUGUUUAGCACUCAUAUGGCCCAGGAAUCGCAACAAUAAGAAGCCCAUUAUCAGGCAAUUCUUCGAAAAUAAGAAGAAUUAUUCCAGCAGCAACAGGAGCACAUACAGUCUUAUAUUGAUACAAGUUUAUGUUCUGUCAGAUCUUACAUUGACAAAAAGAAUGAGAAUAUGCUAAACAGAUUAUCUAACUGGGAAUCCAACAUGGAAGCCAUUAUAGGUUUCAUGCAGCAGGAUGUUUCUCUCCAUGCAAGUCCAAAUUCUACUGUUCAAUCGCAUGAGACAUCAACGUCUCAACCAGCAGAAAGUGUUGACAUGCGGAGAAGAGAAAGGGAAAAGAAGAUGAAAUACACACAAGCUUCGACAUCCACAGGCCGUCCCUUAGAAGACUAUGACAUGAACAAGUACAAAAACAUUAGGAAUUGGAUAUCGAGAAAUCAAUCUGGGUAACAAAUGUAACUCAUUCUGAAUAGUCCGAAUGCUAAACAUUAUUAUAUCAAUGUCAAAAAUUAUUUGUUG